Molecule: unclassified non-coding RNA, 404 nt
Filed under: soil metagenome
Description: partial contains 5.8S ribosomal RNA, internal transcribed spacer 2, and large subunit ribosomal RNA
Rfam family: 5.8S ribosomal RNA (bases 1-121)
Source: RNAcentral
GAUGAAGAACGUAGCGAAAUGCGAUAAGUAGUGUGAAUUGCAGAAGUACCGUGAAUCAUCGAAUCUUUGAACGCAAAUUGCACUCUCUGGUAUUCCGGGGAGUAUGCCUGUUUGAGGGUCGCUUAACAAACCAUCGAUUUCGUUGCUUUUUUUUUAAAAAGUGAUGUUUAUCGGAUUUGAGCCGUCUUUUUUUUUUAUAUUUAAGUGGCUUAAAAUUGAUUUUUUUGGUACGAUCGAAGCGUAUUUUUAUGAUCAAUUUUUGGUUAAAGAAACGCACACGUACCGUUAUUUAUAUGAUGUAAUACGUUUGACUAUUGGAUUUAGUUCAUUCGUAUACGAUAUUUUUCAAUAUUUGACCUCAAAUCAGGUAAGAACACCCGCUGAACUUAAGCAUAUCCGGAGGA